ACUUGAAUAGCUUAUAUUUAGAGCAUGAUAUUGAAGAUAUUAAGGAAAUUUUAUGUUUUCAGGUA
Molecule: transfer RNA, 65 nt
Filed under: Tenebrionoidea sp. 2 KM-2017
Lineage: Eukaryota; Metazoa; Arthropoda; Insecta; Coleoptera
Description: tRNA-Phe
Source: RNAcentral